Molecule: unclassified non-coding RNA, 433 nt
Filed under: soil metagenome
Description: partial contains 5.8S ribosomal RNA, internal transcribed spacer 2, and large subunit ribosomal RNA
Rfam family: 5.8S ribosomal RNA (bases 1-120)
Source: RNAcentral
GAUGAAGAACGCAGCGAAAUGCGAUACGUAAUGUGAAUUGCAGAAUUCAGUGAAUCAUCGAAUCUUUGAACGCAUAUUGCGCUCUUUGGUAUUCCGAAGAGCAUGCUUGUUUGAGUAUCAGUAAACACCUCAAAGCUUUUGGAUUUUUAAUCGAAAAGCCUUGGACUUGAGCAAUCCCAACACCCAUCUUUUUGAGAUCGGUGGCGGGUUGCUUGAAAUGCAGGUGCAGCUGGACAUUCUCCUGAGCUAAAAGCAUAUUCAUUUAGUCCCGUCAAACGGAUUAUUACUUUUGCUGCAGCUAACAUAAAGGGAGUUUGACCGUAUUGGCUGACUGAUGCAGGAUUUCACAAGGGUCGGCAACGAUUCUUGUUAAACUCGAUCUCAAAUCAAGUAAGACUACCCGCUGAACUUAAGCAUAUCAAUAAGCGGAGGA